UACGUAGGGUGCGAGCGUUGUCCGGAAUUAUUGGGCGUAAAGGGCUCGUAGGCGGUUUGUCGCGUCGGGAGUGAAAACCUCGGGCUUAACUCGGGGCUUGCUUUCGAUACGGGCAGACUGGAGGUAUGCAGGGGAGAACGGAAUUCCUGAUGUAGCGGUGAAAUGCGCAGAUAUCAGGAGGAACACCGGUGGCGAAGGCGGUUCUCUGGGCAUGACCUGACGCUGAGGAGCGAAAGUGUGGGGAGCGAACAGG
This 253-nucleotide ribosomal RNA is filed under the name uncultured bacterium. RNAcentral describes it as "partial 16S ribosomal RNA". It matches the Rfam family "Bacterial small subunit ribosomal RNA", at positions 524 to 776 of the family's 1533-position model. The record is from RNAcentral.